Molecule: ribosomal RNA, 484 nt
Filed under: uncultured bacterium
Lineage: Bacteria
Description: bacterial SSU rRNA
Rfam family: Bacterial small subunit ribosomal RNA
Source: RNAcentral
AGAGUUUGAUCCUGGCUCAGAGUGAACGCUGGCGGCAGGCCUAACACAUGCAAGUCGAACGGCAGCACAGCAGUAGCAAUACUGUGGGUGGCGAGUGGCGGACGGGUGAGGAAUGCGUCGGAAUCUGCCUUUUUGUGGGGGAUAACGUAGGGAAACUUACGCUAAUACCGCAUACGACCUACGGGUGAAAGUGGGGGACCUUCGGGCCUCACGCAGAAAGAUGAGCCGACGCCGGAUUAGCUAGUUGGCGGGGUAAAGGCCCGCCAAGGCGACGAUCCGUAGCUGGUCUGAGAGGAUGAUCAGCCACACUGGGACUGAGACACGGCCCAGACUCCUACGGGAGGCAGCAGUGGGGAAUAUUGGACAAUGGGCGCAAGCCUGAUCCAGCCAUGCCGCGUGUGUGAAGAAGGCCUUCGGGUUGUAAAGCACUUUUGUCCGGAAAGAAAAGCUUCGGGUUAAUAACCUGGAGUCAUGACGGUACCGG